This 560-nucleotide ribosomal RNA is filed under the name uncultured bacterium. Its description in RNAcentral is "bacterial SSU rRNA". It matches the Rfam family "Bacterial small subunit ribosomal RNA", at positions 44 to 615 of the family's 1533-position model. The record is from RNAcentral.
GUGCUUAACACAUGCAAGUCGAACGAUGAAGCCCAGCUUGCUGGGUGGAUUAGUGGCGAACGGGUGAGUAACACGUGAGCAACCUGCCCCGGACUCUGGGAUAAGCGCUGGAAACGGUGUCUAAUACCGGAUAUGAGCUCCUGCCGCAUGGUGGGGGUUGGAAAGAUUUUUCGGUUCGGGAUGGGCUCGCGGCCUAUCAGCUUGUUGGUGAGGUAAUGGCUCACCAAGGCGUCGACGGGUAGCCGGCCUGAGAGGGUGACCGGCCACACUGGGACUGAGACACGGCCCAGACUCCUACGGGAGGCAGCAGUGGGGAAUAUUGCACAAUGGGCGGAAGCCUGAUGCAGCAACGCCGCGUGAGGGAUGACGGCCUUCGGGUUGUAAACCUCUUUUAGCAGGGAAGAAGCGAAAGUGACGGUACCUGCAGAAAAAGCGCCGGCUAACUACGUGCCAGCAGCCGCGGUAAUACGUAGGGCGCAAGCGUUAUCCGGAAUUAUUGGGCGUAAAGAGCUCGUAGGCGGUUUUGUCCGUCUGCUGUGAAAUCCCCGAGGCUCAAACCU